UCGCCUGCAUGAAGUCGGAAUUGCUAGUAAUCGUAGGUCAGCAUACUACGGUGAAUACGUUCCCGGGCCCUUGUACACACCGCCCGUCAAACCAUGAGAGUCGGAUAUGCCCGAAGUCAGUGACCCAACCGCAAGGAGGGAGCUGCCGAAGGUGGAGCCGAUGACUGGGGUGAAGUCGUAACAAGGUAAC
Molecule: ribosomal RNA, 190 nt
Filed under: uncultured bacterium
Lineage: Bacteria
Description: partial 16S ribosomal RNA
Rfam family: Bacterial small subunit ribosomal RNA
Source: RNAcentral